Molecule: non-coding RNA, 2182 nt
Organism: Paramisgurnus dabryanus
Lineage: Eukaryota; Metazoa; Chordata; Actinopteri; Cypriniformes; Cobitidae
Source: RefSeq, a predicted model, not a curated record
CUUUCAUACAUGGGGGAAAGCCAAUUCAGUGGAAAGAAAAGCCAUGACCCAGGCAGAAGUAAGGGAUUUAGAGGAAGAGCGAAGAAGGGCAAAGGCAGUGGAACUUGGAUCCCAGGGUGCCUGGACUCGGUGGGAUCUCCCUAAGCGGAAAGUGUCAUGGAAUGAUCUCUGGAGGCUGGAGCCAUACCGAAUAUCCUUUUUACUGAGGGUCGUUUAUGACACCCUACCUUCCCCUGUGAACCUCCACAGAUGGGGGUUAAGGGAUGACCCUCUGUGCAAGCUCUGCAGGAAGAAAGGAACAAUGGCCCAUGUCUUGACAGGUUGCAGCACAGCACUUGCUCAGGGCAGAUACAGAUGGCGCCAUGACAAAGUCCUAACAGUCCUUGCUGAUAUUUUGGAGCAGGAGAGAACCAGGAAAUGCCAAAAUAAGAUCAAGGCGCCCCCUACAAUAGCUUUUGUAAAGGAGGGUUCGAAGCUACCAGGUCCCAGUAAGAUCAGUGCAAGCAUUUUGCAGUCUGCCCAAGCAUGGGAGCUUAGGGUUGACCUAAAGAAAAGACUUCAGUUUCCUGACUUUGUCCACACUACCUUGAGACCAGACGCAGUCCUUUUCUCUUACAAUGGAAAGAAGAUCAUCCUGGUUGAGCUUACAGUGCCAUGGGAAGAGGGGUGUGAAGAGGCAUUUGAGAGGAAAUCUGAACGUUACAGGGAGCUGGUGCAAAACUGCAGAGAGAAAGGCUGGCAGACAUGGCUGUACCCUGUUGAGGUGGGAUGCAGGGGGUAUCCAGCCCAAUCAGUCUGGAAACUGCUGACAGCUGUUGGACUGAAAGGAUCAGAACGAAAAAAGGCGGUGCGAAGACUUGGGGAGGCAGCAGAGAGAGCCUCCUGUUGGAUUUGGAAUAGGAGGGAGGUGUCGAGCUGGCAGCCAGGAGGGAGUGAGUAGUGGCUGGCCACCACUGCUGACCCGCCAAAAGGAGAAUGUUAUGGUCAAGGGUCAAAACACUCAAUGAUAGUUGGUAACCAUCUGAUGACACAACCUCCUGGCUAAGAGCCAGUCAUUGCAAAAUGACUGAAGGAGUAGCAUCUAAGGAUGUAUGCUAUCACCAGCCUGGAUAUUGCAAACCGCUCCCUACAGAGGUGGCGCUGAUGCUAAAAUUAAGAGUACCUCCUGAAUGCCCUUAUGUCAUAAAAAUGUAUGACUGGUACGAGGAACGCACCUGGGUCAUGCUUGUCCUCGAGUACCAAAGGGACUGGAAGGACUUGUAUUCCUAUAUCGAUAAAAAGGGAAUGAAGGAAGACAAAGCUCACCACCUUAUGCUUCAAUUAGUAAGAGCAGAUCAACACUGUUGAAGCAUGAAGUGCUUCACAAUGAUAUCCAUUCUGGAAACAUCAUGGUGGAUGAAAGUGGUUUGCACCUGAAGUUAACAAACUUUAGGAUGGCUCGUCUAGUCAAAAGCACUGGCUACACAUCCAAACCACGUGAAGGAGCUAAAUGUUGCAUUCCACCUGAGGCCUUAACGAGGUUGCAAUACUUGGCCAUGCCAGCAACCGUCUGGGCCUUAGGUGUGGUGCUCUAUGAGAUGGUGUACGGAUUUCCACCCUUGCAACGAUUAGGCGUAGUAAGGAUUACGGGACGCAAUUUAACCAUGAAUGCCCGUGAUCUCAUUCGACGAUGCCUGUACAUGAAUCCAGAUCAACGACUAACAAUCGAUCACAUUUUAGCACACGACUGGUUUAAAUACAUCAUAACACAGGUUCCGGCGACCCCAGCGGUUGCGAAUUAUCUUGUGCCAAAAGGUUCUGAAUCUUUUAAUGCUGAAUACGAGUAUAAAACGAGUAAAGAUUAUUUUCUUGGGAAAGGUGCCUAUGGCAGGGUCUAUAGAGGAACCCGUAAAGCUGAUGGCAAAUUGGUCGCCAUCAAGCGUGUGAGGCUACGUGAGGAAGAAAGAUGUAUUUGUUAUGCAAGUCAUCAAAACUAAGGCUUUCCAGGCUUUCAGCAUGGAUAUUCCAGACCACUUGUUACAGAGGUUGCUUUAAUGUUGAAGUUAAAAGAAGCUCCUGAAUGCCCCUAUGUUAUAAGAAUGAUUGACUGGUAUGAGGAACGCAACUACCUCAUGUUUGUUCUGGAGUACCUAGACGAAUGGAUGCCCUUGCGUAAUUAUAUCUCUACACCUGGAAAACUGCU